ACGGAGGUUCCAAGCGUUGUUCGGAAUUACUGGGCGUAAAGGGAGCGCAGGCGGAUAGGUCAGUUUAAAGUGGAAUCCCAGGGCUCAACCCUGGACGUGCUUUGGAUACUGCCUGUCUUGAGUUCGUGAGAGGAAAGUGGAAUUCAGGGUGUAGCGGUGAAAUGCUUAGAUAUCCUGAGGAACACCAGUGGCGAAAGCGACUUUCUGGCACGAAACUGACGCUGAGGCUCGAAAGCAUGGGUAGCGAACGGGAUUAGAUACCCCGGUAGUCCAUGCCGUAAACGUUGUAUACUAGGUGCAGGAGGUAUCGACCCCUUCUGUGCCGAAGCUAACGCAUUAAGUAUACCGCCUGGGGAGUACGGUCGCAAGAUUA
This 373-nucleotide ribosomal RNA is filed under the name uncultured bacterium. RNAcentral's name for it is "bacterial SSU rRNA". It matches the Rfam family "Bacterial small subunit ribosomal RNA", at positions 525 to 896 of the family's 1533-position model. The record is from RNAcentral.